This is a long non-coding RNA of Lolium rigidum, 1733 nucleotides long. RefSeq lists it as uncharacterized. The transcript has 3 exons. Lineage: Eukaryota; Viridiplantae; Streptophyta; Magnoliopsida; Poales; Poaceae. The record is from RefSeq and is a predicted model, not a curated record.
GUAUUGGGCACCAUUUUUGCUCAUAUUUAUGUUGGCUACAGCUUUCCAUGUUUGUUUCGCAAAUUGUUGUCGUGUUCCGCUCUUGGUUUUGUUCCUUUUAUGUAAGGUUUCGUUAUGGCAGUCGUCUUUUUUUCCUUGCAAACUGUCUGACAUGAAACAUUGAAAAUGUACCGACUUUUUCCUCGCAUCACAUCAUGGUCAAAUAUUUGAAGUUCCUUUUCAUGGUGGAAGCACAACUUUAAUCUGCUAGACUAUUGCAGUUUUCGAAGAGAACGGAUUUCUAUUACAGAAUAUAAUUCGUGAGCUAUAAGUGUAGACCAUUUCAGAAGACUGAAUUUUUUUGUUGGGUCAAGGAAAUCGAUUGGCUGCACCCUGUAUAGAGCUUCCCGUAAUUUUGCAUAGGUCGCAAUCUUCCAAUACUAAUUAGCUACUACUAUAAAUUAUACUGCUCAUAUUAAGACGGAAAAGAUCUGAGCCUUCUAUUUUACAGGCACUUACUAUUUCUUCUAUGAGAUUUGUUUUCUUGGUAAGGCUGUACAAGAGUUGUCGGGUAUGCAUAGCUGCAUUCGUACUAGACAAGCCAAGUUAGUUAUUCUUUUGUUUUCCCCAUUUGAUGGAUUUGUAUUGGAAAAAUUCAUGCCUCAUUUGACAAAUCUGGAACAUCAGAUCCAUGAAUAUGCCCUCCUUGCUUUCACUGCCAGUGUCAAAUCAAUUAUCUUCUAUUGCAGUAAAGCAAGGUGAUAAAUCAUUAUAUGUACAUUUUCCGCUUCUCAGUUUGUAUAGUGAAGUCUUGGCGUAUUUAUUAUUUCUUAACAUGCUUCUGUAGCUAGGUUGUGCUGUUUAUUUUUCAGAAUUAUCACGCAAAGUAUGUUAGUUACGAUGGCAGGGUUUUGAUUUGAGGUUCUCUAAAUUUUAAAUGGUAGGAACACUGAGGUACUGGAGUGGCUAGCUAUUAAACUUUUACAUGUCAAAGGUCUUUUGUCUAUAUGGUUUCUAUACUUUCCUUUAGGAAGUUGGCCCUAUAACUAAGAUUACUCUAUGUACUAGCUCUUGCAGCUGCAGUCCAAGGUAAGGGGAGAAGCAGCAGGCAAUUCCUCCAUCCAUGAUUUGCUUCAGUCCAAUUACCUAGGGUGUUGGCAUGCAAGGACAGGGGUGACCAACAAGGGAAAGCAACUCAGCCAUCAAUGGCCAUGGUGCAUCUCUCUUCUCAAUUUCUAGAGGUGUUCAGUUUUGUUCAGCUACAUUUGAUUAACGUUCCCUCUUAGUGGAUAUUAGUUUUGAUAAAAAUGAUUAAUUUAAAGCUAAAUCUGUAUCUUUUUCAUGGAUUCACCAAAGAGAAACGUGAGGACGCCCAACCGUGGAGAAACACCACAACUCCAUGCUGAAGUGUCGCUCGGGUGCCUUUAUGAUGAAAUAUGUUUCUGCCAAGGCAUGUGGUCAGAGGACCACAACAACGUGUACGCACUGUUGCACGCCGUUGCCCACGUCCAGGGAGUGCAAGCACAUGGCAGCAAGAAGUUCUUAAACCACUAAAUAUGUCAACAUCAAACAGGAAGUUGAUCGAUGGGCUCCAGUUUUCAUCACUGUUUUUGCAUGGACACAUGAUGUGUAGCAUGAACUGGUACCAUACUGGUAGUUUAAUUAUCUUAGAUAUGCGGCAUCUUUGAAAUCACCUGAUGUUAAUGAUCUACUCAUGUUGUUUUUCUGUUUGAAGGUACAAACUUUGGCCUAUG